Molecule: non-coding RNA, 143 nt
Organism: Fukomys damarensis (Damara mole-rat)
Lineage: Eukaryota; Metazoa; Chordata; Mammalia; Rodentia; Bathyergidae
Source: Rfam
AGCUUUGCGCAGUGGCAGUAUCGUAGCCAAUGAGGUUUAUCCGAGGCGCGAUUAUUGCUAAUUGAAAAUCUUCCAUUAACUGACACGAACAUUGUCACAGUCAACAGUGAAAAAAAGCCAGUUUUUAAAGCUAAAAGAAUUAU